Long non-coding RNA from Argiope bruennichi, 2622 nucleotides. RefSeq lists it as uncharacterized. Lineage: Eukaryota; Metazoa; Arthropoda; Arachnida; Araneae; Araneidae. The transcript is spliced from 3 exons. The record is from RefSeq and is a predicted model, not a curated record.
AAAAAAAAAAAAAAAAAAAAAACCCUGCUCACAUCAAGAAGGUGCUGUCGGCAUUGUGUAUUACUGAGAUGAAAAAGAAAAACCUGCUGACAUCAAGAAGGAGCAGUUGCAAUGAAUAAUAAUCGUAAGUAUUUUUUAUAUCUUAAUAUCAAUUAUAUGUUUUACACUUUAAUCACCAAGUAUGAAUUAUAUCAUACUGUGUUAUUUGAGAUUUUUGUACGAAAAAACUCAUAGUAUAUCAGUUCUAUUUUUAUAUUACCUUUUCACUUUAAGAUUACAAUUAUUCCGACUCAGAUAGAAGCGAUACCGAGGAUAAAUUCUAAAAUAUUUUAACCAAAUAUUAUGUUAGUUAUAAGAUUAUUAUUGAAUUUUAGGAGCAGUCGAGAAAAAGAAUCAUUGUAAUUAUAUUUUAUAUCUUAAUAUAUAAAUUACGUGUCACGUUGUUUGUCCGCGAUUGACUCCUAAACUAUUUGACCGAUUUUAAUCAAAUUUGUACACCGUGUGUAGUUUAAUAUAACUUAAAAGAUAUGAUAACUUACAUCUCAAUUAUAACUACAAUAUUAUUUUAUUGCAAAUUUAUUAAUUAAAAACUAACUUUCCCACCAAAAAAAUCUUUAAUUUUCCCACCGCCAAACGAGUAAGGUUUUUAUCCAACAGUAAUGAGGCUAGGCUUAAGAUUUAUCGGCUGAUUAUUUUCAAAUGAUUCUGUUUAUUUUCUUAAUGUUUGAUGCAUUUAAAAUUAAACAUUGUUAAUUAAUUGGUCUUUCAGAUUCAUUCUGAAGUACUUUAUCGGUCUUUCAGAUUCAUUCUGAAGUACUUUUGAAUUAAAACAGUGUUACCCAAACAGGCGUAGAAAAAUUCACCCAUGCGUAUUGUGUUCUAAUUGUUGACAAUAUUAUCAACGGAUAAUUCUUUAGUUUUAGCUUUUGUAAUUAAAUUUUAUUUAUGUUCGUUCUAUAUUUUUUGUACAUGUAUAUAGUUUUAAGUACAUUAUUUUUUAAGAAGUUUUUUUAAACAUGUUUUUGAUCGAUUAUUUAAUACGAUUCAUUUUAUUUUCUUAGUGUUUGAUGCAUUUAAAAUUUAAUUAAUAAAUCUUCUCACGAUUAAUCUGAGAAAAUUUUGUUAACAAAUUCUUGAAAUAUUACAUAAAUUAAGAUAUAUAUUCUUUAGUACCCAUAAAGUUUAAACGCUCAGUGACUCUGUUUUCAUAAAUCAUAUUAUAAAAAAAACUGAGCUGAAAUUAAAUUUAGCGCAUGUGCUGAUUUUGGAAAACAACGAGUGAUUAUAGCCACGUCCUUUACUUCAAGGUUGUCUCAUUACUUACAAAGAGGAAAUAAGAUUAACGAGCAUUAAUAUUGGUGAGUUAGCUGGUCACCAAAGGCGGCUAAUUAAUUAUAUUUUUUACACUUUAAUCACCAAGCAUGAAUUAUAUCAUACUGUGUUAUUUGAGUUUUUUGUACGAAAAAACUCGUAGUAUAUCGGUGCCAAUAUAUUAUAUAAUAUUUAUUUUAUAUUACCUUUUCACUUUAAGAUAAUUAUUCAGACUCGGACUCGGACUCAGGUACAGAGAGAAGAAGAAAAAAUUGUAAGUAAAUUAUUAUUUAUUAUGUAAAUAAUUUUUUCUUAUGCGGUAUUAUAAUACUUAUCCGAUUGAGAGGAAACUGAAUAUUUUAUACAUGUUCUUUUUUUUAUUUCAGUUAAAAAUCUAAACCAAGCCGCCCAAAAUAAAAUUUUCCAAGACCUAAUAUCUAUGAUUAGAUUUUUUAUUAGGCACAAGUAUGUAUAUAAAGAAUUACUUAUAAUUAUAUUCAUCUAUAAUAACUGCACAGCGAGCAUAUAUUUCUCCGCAUAGUGUUUUAACUCUCGAAAUGUGCAAUUGUGGUAGAUAUAUAUUCAUUCCUAAUGAUUCAAAUAUAUGAUACCUGUAGUUUUAUUUAUUAAUUUUUUGUACAUUUAGUUACAUAACAUGAUGUAUAACAAAAGACAUCUAAUUUAUUGUUCAAAUAAAAAAAAAAUUCUAGUCUCAAAUGUCAUAUUAAAUCACACUUGUAAAUUUAUUUAUAAUUUUGUUAUUUUUUUUUUUUUCAGAAACUACAAGGAUUUGAUUAUCACAUCUAAACACCUAGAGGCAUUAGAAUUAUUCACAAAAAAGAUGUAUAAGGAAUAUAAAAAAAAAUAAGACAAACAGAAUUGAAACAAGAAGGUUUUUGAAAAAUUUUACAAUUGUAACUGGAAAAAAAUUAUAUGUUAUUAAAUAAAAUUCUAUGUGUUGAGAAAAGUGUAUAGUUUCAAUUUACAAUUAUUAUUAUAAAAUGAAUAUUAUGAAUCUAGAGAUUAUUUUGGUCUGGACGAUCGGGAUUUAAAUAUCCCGAUCGAAAAUGCAUCUAUAGAAAUGCCAACGCAAUUACCUAAUGAUGCACAACUUAUAGAUGCAAUAAAGGAUUGGUUAAAGAGCCCAAAUUUUGACUUUUUACAAAACCUUGAACCAAAUCCUCCAGACUUGCCACUGGAUCUGUAUGAAGAUUUGUUUGAUUAGUUGUUGUUUUUGUGUAAAUUUUUAUAUAUUUCAUUUAUUAUUUAUAUAUUUUAUUAUUUAUUUAUUUAUUUAUUGUAUAUAUAUUU